Molecule: long non-coding RNA, 264 nt
Filed under: Capsicum annuum
Lineage: Eukaryota; Viridiplantae; Streptophyta; Magnoliopsida; Solanales; Solanaceae
Description: long non-coding RNA (CANN_LNC007079)
Source: RNAcentral
GAGACGCGGUUGGGUAGUUAGCUCAGGCUCAAAACACCUGACCUCGAGGGGGUUUGUCGAGUGACACAGAGAAUCUGAAGCAGGUAAUGGCAAUCACCUUAAGGAGUGGUAGGAAUCUCAUUGACAAGCCUUCAAAUAUACAUCAGGAAGUACAGGCAGAGUUUGUCCCAUGACGAGCAGAUGAGAAGCACGUGAAAUCCAAAGAAUAUGAAAAAUUGGGGAAGUUUGAGUACCUAAAAAGGCAGCUAAGCGAGUACAAAAGAG